RNAcentral lists this ribosomal RNA (486 nucleotides) under uncultured bacterium. RNAcentral's name for it is "partial 16S ribosomal RNA". It matches the Rfam family "Bacterial small subunit ribosomal RNA", at positions 30 to 507 of the family's 1533-position model. The record is from RNAcentral.
AUUGAACGCUGGCGGCAUGCCUUACACAUGCAAGUCGAACGGCAGCACGGGUGCUUGCACCUGGUGGCGAGUGGCGAACGGGUGAGUAAUACAUCGGAACAUGUCCUGUAGUGGGGGAUAGCCCGGCGAAAGCCGGAUUAAUACCGCAUACGAUCUACGGAUGAAAGCGGGGGACCUUCGGGCCUCGCGCUAUAGGGUUGGCCGAUGGCUGAUUAGCUAGUUGGUGGGGUAAAGGCCUACCAAGGCGACGAUCAGUAGCUGGUCUGAGAGGACGACCAGCCACACUGGGACUGAGACACGGCCCAGACUCCUACGGGAGGCAGCAGUGGGGAAUUUUGGACAAUGGGCGAAAGCCUGAUCCAGCAAUGCCGCGUGUGUGAAGAGGGCCUUCGGGUUGUAAAGCACUUUUGUCCGGAAAGAAAUCCUUGGCCCUAAUACGGUCGGGGGAUGACGGUACCGGAAGAAUAAGCACCGGCUAACUACGUG